AGUGAACGCUGGCGGUAGGCCUAACACAUGCCAGUCGAACGGCAGCACAGUAAGAGCUUGCUCUUACGGGUGGCGAGUGGCGGACGGGUGAGGAAUACAUCGGAAUCUACUUUUUCGUGGGGGAUAACGUAGGGAAACUUACGCUAAUACCGCAUACGACCUACGGGUGAAAGCAGGGGAUCUUCGGACCUUGCGCGAUUGAAUGAGCCGAUGUCGGAUUAGCUAGUUGGCGGGGUAAAGGCCCACCAAGGCGACGAUCCGUAGCUGGUCUGAGAGGAUGAUCAGCCACACUGGAACUGAGAAAAGGUGCAGACUCCUACGGGAGGCAGCAGUGGGGAAUAUUGGACAAUGGGCGCAAGCCUGAUCCAGCCCUACCGCGUGGGUGAAGAAGGCCUUCGGGUUGUAAAGCCCUUUUGUUGGGAAAGAAAAGCAGCAGGUUAAUACCCCGCUGUUCUGACGGUACCCAAAGAAUAAGCACCGGCUAACUUCGUG
This 492-nucleotide ribosomal RNA is filed under the name uncultured bacterium. Its description in RNAcentral is "partial 16S ribosomal RNA". It matches the Rfam family "Bacterial small subunit ribosomal RNA", at positions 29 to 507 of the family's 1533-position model. The record is from RNAcentral.